Molecule: unclassified non-coding RNA, 277 nt
Filed under: Hevea brasiliensis (rubber tree)
Lineage: Eukaryota; Viridiplantae; Streptophyta; Magnoliopsida; Malpighiales; Euphorbiaceae
Source: RNAcentral
GGCAGGCCGAAGUUGGCAACAUGGAUUGAGGAGUUGAACAAGCUCGAUAGCUACUCACAGACCAAACUGGAUCCUCAAGAGCUACUUGCUCACAGUAAGAAGCGACUGGGGAUCGCAUGAAGUCUUCAUCGCCUCACAGGUGGUGCGAAUGCGAGUUCUAGAGAACACUAGCAUGCUACUGUAAUAAAAUGGUGUCCCUGACAUUGCCAGAGCCAAUUCGGACAUCAUCAGUUGAUUUAUAUUUUGUACUUGUUAAAGUUGAUGGCCUUGUUUGAAG